UGGGGAAUAUUGCACAAUGGAGGGAACUCUGAUGCAGCGACGCCGCGUGAACGAAGAAGGCUUUCGAGUCGUAAAGUUCUUUUAUAUGGGAAGAUAAUGACGGUACCAUAAGAAAAAGCCCCGGCUAACUACGUGCCAGCAGCCGCGGUAAUACGUAGGGGGCUAGCGUUGUCCGGAAUCACUGGGGGUAAAGGGUUCGCAGGCGGAAAUGCAAGUCAGGUGUAAAAGGCAGUAGCUUAACUACUGUAAGCAUUUGAAACUGCAUAUCUUUAGAAGAGUAGAGGUAAGUGGAAUUUUUAGUGUAGCGGUGAAAUGCGUAGAUAUUAAAAAGAAUACCGGUGGCGAAGGCGACUUACUGGGCUCAUUCUGACGCUGAGGAACGAAAGCGUGGGUAGCAAACAGG
Molecule: ribosomal RNA, 403 nt
Filed under: Fusobacteriota bacterium
Lineage: Bacteria; Fusobacteriati; Fusobacteriota
Description: Fusobacteria bacterium partial 16S ribosomal RNA
Rfam family: Bacterial small subunit ribosomal RNA
Source: RNAcentral